RNAcentral lists this ribosomal RNA (392 nucleotides) under uncultured bacterium. Its description in RNAcentral is "bacterial SSU rRNA". It matches the Rfam family "Bacterial small subunit ribosomal RNA", at positions 30 to 420 of the family's 1533-position model. The record is from RNAcentral.
AUUGAACGCUGGCGGCAUGCUUUACACAUGCAAGUCGAACGGCAGCAUGGGUGCUUGCACCUGAUGGCGAGUGGCGAACGGGUGAGUAAUAUAUCGGAACGUACCAAGUAAUGGGGGAUAACUACUCGAAAGAGUGGCUAAUACCGCAUACGCCCUAAGGGGGAAAGCAGGGGAUCUUCGGACCUUGCGUUAUUUGAGCGGCCGAUGUCUGAUUAGCUAGUUGGUGGGGUAAGAGCCUACCAAGGCGACGAUCAGUAGCGGGUCUGAGAGGAUGAUCCGCCACACUGGGACUGAGACACGGCCCAGACUCCUACGGGAGGCAGCAGUGGGGAAUUUUGGACAAUGGGCGAAAGCCUGAUCCAGCCAUGCCGCGUGUAUGAAGAAGGCCUCGG